UAUGGAGAAAAUGAAUAAUCAUGGUGGGUCAAAAAUUUAUGCUGCUGUUGAUGGUCAAGAAUUUAUGGAGAAAAUGAAUAAUCAUGGUGGGUUGGAUUAUGAAAGUCUAAAAAGAACAGAGGGGGAGGAGGAGAGGAGGAGAAAUACUACAAGUUCUGCCAUUUUCGCUUCUUGUGCCAAAAAAGAAAAGAUUGUGUCAUCCGACCAUUCUUGCGGCAAAAAAAUUAUUAUCUUUGAGUCGUCAGAUGCCUAAAACCGAAUUGGGUAAUGAUCAAAAUGUGCCUAAAACAAGCCUUACCCUACAAUCUUCUGAUUCUUUUGUCGAUUGCUUCAAGAAUAUGAACCAGAACCCAAGAAAAUCCAAGAAACGAUGUCGCGAUAAUCUCUAAGAAGAAGAGGCUGAAACAAGGAAGAAAGACGCUCUUAUGGUACAAGUUAUACAGCAACCACUAGAUUUACCUCAAGAACUGAAGAAUUACAUUGAUAGCCAUGUGUUGGGUGGUGGUACUUUGGUCGCGCCACCAGUGUUUGUGAUACAAAAGGCUUUGACAAAGACUGACUUGAGCAAAGGCCACAAUCGUCUGUCAAUGCCGCAUACCAGAAUCAACUGUGAUUUUCUUGAGAAUUUUC
Molecule: long non-coding RNA, 630 nt
Filed under: Panax ginseng (ginseng)
Lineage: Eukaryota; Viridiplantae; Streptophyta; Magnoliopsida; Apiales; Araliaceae
Description: long non-coding RNA (PGIN_LNC016065)
Source: RNAcentral